RNAcentral lists this transfer RNA (85 nucleotides) under marine bacterium AO1-C. Its description in RNAcentral is "tRNA-Tyr". It matches the Rfam family "tRNA". From Rfam's summary of the family: Transfer RNA (tRNA) molecules are approximately 80 nucleotides in length. Their secondary structure includes four short double-helical elements and three loops (D, anti-codon, and T loops). Further hydrogen bonds mediate the characteristic L-shaped molecular structure. tRNAs have two regions of fundamental functional importance: the anti-codon, which is responsible for specific mRNA codon recognition, and the 3' end, to which the tRNAs corresponding amino acid is attached (by aminoacyl-tRNA synthetases). tRNAs cope with the degeneracy of the genetic code in two manners: having more than one tRNA (with a specific anti-codon) for a particular amino acid; and 'wobble' base-pairing, i.e. permitting non-standard base-pairing at the 3rd anti-codon position. The record is from RNAcentral. Lineage: Bacteria; Pseudomonadati; Bacteroidota; Cytophagia; Cytophagales; Cytophagaceae.
GGAGGUGCGGCAAAGUUGGAGAGUUGCGGUGCUCUGUAAAAGCAUUGCUUCGGCUGAGUAGGUUCGAAUCCUACCACCUCCACCA